This 253-nucleotide ribosomal RNA is filed under the name uncultured bacterium. Its description in RNAcentral is "partial 16S ribosomal RNA". It matches the Rfam family "Bacterial small subunit ribosomal RNA", at positions 524 to 776 of the family's 1533-position model. The record is from RNAcentral.
UACGUAGGUGACCAGCGUUGUCCGGAUUUACUGGGCGUAAAGAGCGCGCAGGCGGUCGUUCAAGUCGAGUGUGAAAGCCCCCGGCUCAACUGGGGAGGGUCAUUCGAUACUGAUCGACUUGAAGGCAGGAGAGGGAAGCGGAAUUCCCGGUGUAGUGGUGAAAUGCGUAGAUAUCGGGAGGAACACCAAUGGCGAAGGCAGCUCGCUGGGACGUUACUGACGCUGAGACGCGAAAGCGUGGGGAGCAAACAGG